GUGAGGAAUAUUGCGCAAUGGAGGCAACUCUGACGCAGCCAUGCCGCGUGCAGGAAGAAGGCGCUACGCGUUGUAAACUGCUUUUAACCGGGAAGAAACCCCAGGACGUGUCCUGGGUUGACGGUACCGGAGGAAUAAGCACCGGCUAACUUCGUGCCAGCAGCCGCGGUAAUACGAAGGGUGCAAGCGUUAUCCGGAUUCAUUGGGCUUAAAGGGUGCGUAGGCGGAGCGUUAAGUCAGUGGUGAAAUCCUGCAGCUUAACUGUAGACUUGCCAUUGAUACUGGCGCUCUUGAGUGCGCUUGAAGUGGGCGGAAUGUGCCGUGUAGCGGUGAAAUGCUUAGAUAUGGCACAGAACACCAAUUGCGAAGGCAGCUCACUAAGGCGAUACUGACGCUGAGGCACGAAAGCGUGGGGAUCGAACAGGAUUAGAAACCCGGGUAGUCC
Molecule: ribosomal RNA, 445 nt
Filed under: uncultured bacterium
Lineage: Bacteria
Description: partial 16S ribosomal RNA
Rfam family: Bacterial small subunit ribosomal RNA
Source: RNAcentral